RNAcentral lists this ribosomal RNA (183 nucleotides) under uncultured Nitrososphaerota archaeon. RNAcentral's name for it is "uncultured thaumarchaeote partial 16S ribosomal RNA". It matches the Rfam family "Archaeal small subunit ribosomal RNA", at positions 737 to 920 of the family's 1478-position model. Lineage: Archaea; Thermoproteati; Nitrososphaerota. The record is from RNAcentral.
CCGGGUAGUCCAGCUGUAAACUAUGCAAACUCAGUGAUGCAUUGGCUUGUGGCCAAUGCAGUGCCGCAGGGAAGCCGUUAAGUUUGCCGCCUGGGAAGUACGUACGCAAGUAUGAAACUUAAAGGAAUUGGCGGGGGAGCACCACAAGGGGUGAAGCCUGCGGUUCAAUUGGAGUCAACGCCG